This 274-nucleotide ribosomal RNA is filed under the name uncultured bacterium. RNAcentral describes it as "partial 16S ribosomal RNA". It matches the Rfam family "Bacterial small subunit ribosomal RNA", at positions 523 to 796 of the family's 1533-position model. The record is from RNAcentral.
AUACGGAGGGUGCAAGCGUUACUCGGAAUCACAGGGCGUAAAGCGCGCGCAGGCGGUCUUUUAAGUUGGAUGUGAAAGCCUACGGCUCAACCGUAGAACUGCAUCCAAAACUAUUAGACUAGAGUGUGGGAGAGGAAGAUGGAAUUAGUUGUGUAGGGGUAAAAUCCGUAGAGAUAACUAGGAAUACCAAAAGCGAAGGCAAUCUUCUGGAACACUACUGACGCUGAGGCGCGAAAGCGUGGGGAGCAAACAGGAUUAGAUACCCUAGUAGUCC